UAGGGAAUCUUCGGCAAUGGACGAAAGUCUGACCGAGCAACGCCGCGUGAGUGAAGAAGGUUUUCGGAUCGUAAAACUCUGUUCUUAGAGAAGAACAAGGACGUUAGUAACUGAACGUCCCCUGACGGUAUCUAACCAGAAAGCCACGGCUAACUACGUGCCAGCAGCCGCGGUAAUACGUAGGUGGCAAGCGUUGUCCGGAUUUAUUGGGCGUAAAGCGAGCGCAGGCGGUUUCUUAAGUCUGAUGUGAAAGCCCCCGGCUCAACCGGGGAGGGUCAUUGGAAACUGGGAGACUUGAGUGCAGAAGAGGAGAGUGGAAUUCCAUGUGUAGCGGUGAAAUGCGUAGAUAUAUGGAGGAACACCAGUGGCGAAGGCGGCUCUCUGGUCUGUAACUGACGCUGAGGCUCGAAAGCGUGGGGAGCAAACAGG
Molecule: ribosomal RNA, 429 nt
Filed under: Gemmatimonadota bacterium
Lineage: Bacteria; Pseudomonadati; Gemmatimonadota
Description: Gemmatimonadetes bacterium partial 16S ribosomal RNA
Rfam family: Bacterial small subunit ribosomal RNA
Source: RNAcentral